This is an RNA transcript of Solanum pennellii, 2738 nucleotides long. RefSeq lists it as uncharacterized. The transcript is spliced from 4 exons. The record is from RefSeq and is a predicted model, not a curated record. Lineage: Eukaryota; Viridiplantae; Streptophyta; Magnoliopsida; Solanales; Solanaceae.
UCCCUAAUUUUAUUUUAUUUUCAGUACUUUAAACUGAAAAUUCACAAAUCAAUUACGUUUGGAUUUGAUUGGAUUUUCGCAUUCACUGCUGCUCGCCAGUGAUUUUCAUAUUCAGGUGGAGAACCAUAAGGUCUCACGUUCAAAUCCACUAGAGAGACGAAAGUACUGGGUGAUUUCUUCUUAUCUGUUCUAGAUGAUUAUGUUUUUAGGUUAAGAAAGAGAGUUUGCAUUUUGAAAUUAUAAGUAUUGCUGUGUUUUGCAGCUUGUUCCGACUUCCAGGGAGUGUAAGAAGAGAGAAUCCAGUUUUGGUGCAUUGCAAUAGGACACAUAGGUGACAUUUUCUAAAAAAGGCAUUGUCCAAGGAGAUGAGAAGGUUGAUAUGCUCAUGAAGUCGGAGAAGAAAUCCAAGAAUAGGAAAAAGAAUGUUGUCACUGAUGAUUCGGAAGUGACAAAGGGCGAUGUUAAGGACGUUGAUCAUGAUUCAUGUUUCAAGGAAGAGAGUCUCUCUUUUACAGGGAUCAGGAAAGAAAGGGAUAAGACAAAGAUGGAAACUCAAGCACCUGGCGAAAGUGAAGAUAGUUACAUCAAGAUAAAGAAAGAAAGAGGUGGUGGUAAACAGCAUGGGAAAUACAGUAAAGACGGGUGUGAGGAUACUGUUGAAAAUGUUUUUAAAAAGAAAAAGAAGUUGAAGAAUGAGCAGGAUAUACUUAUGAUGCACGAUGCUAGUUUAGACACCAAAACACUUGCUCAUGAAAGUGCGAGCAGAACUCAUGAAACCAAGGCCGUUGAGACUCUCGGCGAGGGCUCUGGUGGAAAUCUUACAGAUGAGGUGAAGAGGAAGAAAAAGAAAAAGAAAAAAGAUAAGAGGGGAAAAGAUGGACAGGUAGAUAUCGUGGUUGGUGUCAUUCAAGGUGUUGUUUCAGCUGACGAAGUGAAUAGGAAGAAAAGGAAAAAGGAUAAGAAGAAAAGAGAGGAUGGACUGGUAGACGUCGUGGCUAGCGUCAUUCAGGGUGAUGUUUUAGCUAUAGAUGAGAUGAAGAGGAAGAAAAGGAAAAAGGAUAAGAGGAAUAAAGAGGAUGGACAGGUAGAUAUCGCGACUGGCGUCAUUCAAGGUGAUGUUUCAGCUAUAAAUGAGAUGAAGAGGAAGAAAAGGAAAAAGGAUAAGAAUAAAAAGGAUGGACAGGUAGAUAGCGUGGCUGGUGUCAUUCAAGGUGAUGUUUCAGCCAUAGAAGAGACGGAAGAUAGACAAAUAGAUGAUGCUAAUAUCAGAAAGAUGAAAAAGACAAAAUUAGGGCACAAUUCGAAAAAUCUUACUAAUGAAAAGACUGAAAAAAGAGUGAGAUUUUCUGAUAAUGUACAGUUUUUCCAUCCAAUCAGUGAUCCUAGCAAUGAGAGGCAUGAAAAUAACAAACAAGAAUUAUUGCUUGGCAAAUAUUUCACACAGGAAGAAGAUGAAAUCGUCAAAGAUGCUGUUUGUAGAUACAUAGAGGUAUAUAAUUUGGGGGAUGAGGGGUUGCAAAAGGUUUUGAAUUCCAAAUCUUAUCCUAAACUAAGGGGCUGCUGGAAAGAGAUAGGGAAGGCUAUACCAUACAGGCCUUUCACAGCAGUUUAUCAUCGUGCACAGCGUUUGUUUCGAAUGGGAGAGAAGCGUAAAUGGACUGAAGAAGAGUAUGGGAUGCUUCGGAAGUUCCAGGGAGCACAUGGGAAUAAGUGGACCCUCUUGGCCAACGAACUUGGGAAACAUCCGGAUCAUGUUGGAAAUGCAUGGGAUAGGAUAAAACUGGAAAAUCGGAAGAGAGGACAGUGGGAUCAGGAGGAAGUACAGAAAUUGUUUGAUUUAGUAAACACCGAUCUGCAACUUAAGCUCUCUGAAGAAAGGAAAUCUAGGCAUGGGAUGCUACGGGAUAAUAUUUGCUGGAGUUCAAUUAGUGACAAUUUGUCCACCAGGAUUUCCCAUCAUUGCUGCAAUAAAUGGUACAGACAAUUAACAUCCUCGAUGGUGGUUGCAGGUGAAUGGGCAGAUACUGAUGACUAUCGCUUAAUUGCUGCCCUUUUUGAACUAGACGCAAGCUGCAUAGAGGAUGUGGAUUGGGACAAUCUUCUCUCCCACAGGCAUGGAGAUUUAUGUCGAAAAAGAUGGAAAGAGAUGGUGCGUCAAAUAAGUCAACAUGAAAACAAGUCAUUUGAUGCACUAGUAGAAGUGUUAGCAAAGAGAUACCGCCCUGAUUUAGUUGGAGCAAGGGAGGUCUGGGAUAGUAAACCACUUGUUCCAUGACAUGUUUAACACUCACAUGAGCGUUUCUGUAGAGAGAAGAGAUGCUUGAGGAACUAGAGGUAUUAGGUACUCGUGAAAUAGUAGAGGUGCUUGUUGGCUUGGGCACCAAACAUUAUCCAUAAAGGAAAUGUUUACAGAUGUUUUGGAAGAGAGAUUCUUUCUUGUCUGGUGGAAAGAAAAUUAAAAAAACCUUUCACAAUUUGAUGUUAUGAAGGAUUGAAAGAGAUAAGCCGAGGGUCUAUCUGACACAACCUCUCUACCUCGCAAAGGUAAGGACAAGGUCUGCGUAAAUCUUCCCCAUCCCAAACCCCACAUGUAAGAUUACAGCGGGUAUGUUGUUGAAGUAUAUGUUGUGUACCUGCCUAAAAAAAAGAUUACAAAAUGUUAUUAGUAUUGCCCAUAGCCUCAUACUCCUUUAUUCAAAUGCAUUUUUAUCAAUUUGGGUAUUAUUUUUUGUAUCAAA